CACGUAGGGCGCAAGCGUUGUCCGGAAUUAUUGGGCGUAAAGAGCUCGUAGGCGGUCUGUUGCGUCCGCUGUGAAAACUCGGGGCUUAACCCCGAGCCUGCAGUGGAUACGGGCAGACUAGAGGUAGGUAGGGGAGAAUGGAAUUCCCGGUGUAGCGGUGAAAUGCGCAGAUAUCGGGAGGAACACCGGUGGCGAAGGCGGUUCUCUGGGCCUUACCCUGACGCUGAGGAGCGAAAGCGUGGGGAGCGAACA
RNAcentral lists this ribosomal RNA (252 nucleotides) under uncultured bacterium. RNAcentral describes it as "partial 16S ribosomal RNA". It matches the Rfam family "Bacterial small subunit ribosomal RNA", at positions 524 to 774 of the family's 1533-position model. The record is from RNAcentral.